Papaver somniferum (opium poppy) is the source of this 1339-nucleotide long non-coding RNA. RefSeq lists it as uncharacterized. The record is from RefSeq and is a predicted model, not a curated record. The transcript is spliced from 4 exons. NCBI's taxonomy places the organism in Eukaryota, Viridiplantae, Streptophyta, Magnoliopsida, Ranunculales, Papaveraceae.
GAUUGUUUUAGUUUAUGAGAUGAGCUAAAGAAAAAAGUAGUCUUAUAUGAGAUUACUGAUCUGAAUUCUGAGAUUUUAUAUGCUGAAAUCGCAAAUCGGAUAGUGGGUUGCUCAAGUGCUAUUGUGAUCACGUUAUAGUUAUAAAAUAUGGAAACAAGGACUCGAGAGUUACUCUGAAAUUUCGUAGAUAGCACUGUCAAGGUUGAGGAAAGGUCUUUACUGCAGUGCAUAUCAAAGAACAAUUGAAACAUCCGAGAAGCCGCCUGGUACAGUUGCAUCGGAAUCCAGUACAAUAUUUUGUUUUGCGAGUUUACAAUUGUGAUUUAUUAUUUGGAGGAAGCAAACUACUGCAGAGAUUCUUCCGUGUAAGAUAUGCCAAUGAUAACAGUCAUAAAAACAAGAUAUAAUCUUAAUCCUAGCCAGCUAAAUGCAGUUUCAAAAAUCUAAAACUAGAACAUUUGGGACAAGAGAGUUGUACAGCAGCAUUGGCUUAUCAACACAGAUCAGUAACCGGAAUCUAAAAGCUAAUGUGGAUUUCAAGGUACAUAUUUUGCUGGUAGUUGCUUGUGUUGAAGGACCCGUUGAGGUAUCGAGAGAGAUUUUUCACAAAUAUUUCAAUGGUUAGUUUGGAAGCACAUAUCAGAGUUGGGCCCCUUUCUUAAUAAUGCGAUUGAGAUGGAAUUAAUUUGCUUCGUCAAUGUAGAUGUUCAGCGUUCAGUAAUUCUUUCUUUCUUUCUUUAUCAAUUCAUUAGCCAAGAGCUCCUUGCAACAGUGGAGAUCAAAAGAACCUCUAGAUCAAGGCGUGGAUCUUCCGACACAUCUAUAAAUCGUCAAAUUUCUUGAAAUAUAAAAUCGGAUCAUGUUGGACUAUAUGCAGAUGACUCAAUAUUUGAUCACAAUAUUAUGCAGCAUUUAGUAGCUUUUGCAAUGGACAGGACCCAUCCUUUGAGGAGGGAGAACCGUAGGCCUUAUGUUGAUCGAGACAUAUUUCUCGUCUUUGCUUCUUAUUCAUAUGGGUCUGUUUUUGAGCAUGUAUAUAUACCAGUAUGGGGUCAGUAUUUUGUGAAUUUGGUAUCACGUGAAGCUAAUUCUGCAACAUCCGUCGGGGCUUCCAGAAGAUCCCAUCAACCGCCAUCAACUGUGCUUUUCUCUUGUCUACAUACAGGCUCAAACAUAACAGACAGUAGACAUGACUCUCCCACACUAAGGUUUAGUUAUCGACCUGUUGGUGUUGUGUCCAUUUCAGCAUUUCCUUAAUUAUCUUCUCGCUAUUACUUUGUACACUGUACUGAGUAGAUUAAUUUAUGCAUCACUGAAUCCCAAGUGCUAUUAACACUUC